This 251-nucleotide ribosomal RNA is filed under the name uncultured bacterium. Its description in RNAcentral is "partial 16S ribosomal RNA". It matches the Rfam family "Bacterial small subunit ribosomal RNA", at positions 525 to 775 of the family's 1533-position model. The record is from RNAcentral.
ACGGGAGGUCCAAGCGUUAUUCGGAAUUAUUGGACGUAAAGCGCAUGUAGGCGGUCGGGUAUGUCAGAUGUGAAAGCCCAGGGCUUAACCCUGGAAGUGCAUUUGAAACUGCCUGGCUUGAGUCUCGGAGAGGAAAGUGGAAUUCCCAGUGUAGAGGUGGAGUUCGUAGAUAUUGGGAGGAACACCGGUGGCGAAAGCGACUUUCUGGACGAAGACUGACGCUCAGAUGCGAAAGCGUGGGUAGCAAACAG